ACAAGUUAGGUUCUUGGGAUCU
This 22-nucleotide microRNA is filed under the name Scyliorhinus torazame (cloudy catshark). RNAcentral's name for it is "Sto-Mir-10-P3c_3p* (star (passenger))". The record is from RNAcentral. Lineage: Eukaryota; Metazoa; Chordata; Chondrichthyes; Carcharhiniformes; Scyliorhinidae.